This 596-nucleotide ribosomal RNA is filed under the name uncultured Frankia sp. RNAcentral's name for it is "bacterial SSU rRNA". It matches the Rfam family "Bacterial small subunit ribosomal RNA", at positions 252 to 858 of the family's 1533-position model. The record is from RNAcentral. Lineage: Bacteria; Bacillati; Actinomycetota; Actinomycetes; Frankiales; Frankiaceae.
GUGGGGUAAUGGCCUACCAAGGCGACGACGGGUAGCCGGCCUGAGAGGGCGAUCGGCCACACUGGGACUGAGACACGGCCCAGACUCCUACGGGAGGCAGCAGUGGGGAAUAUUGCGCAAUGGGCGAAAGCCUGACGCAGCGACGCCGCGUGAGGGAUGACGGCCUUCGGGUUGUAAACCUCUUUCAGCAGGGACGAAGCGAGAGUGACGGUACCUGCAGAAGAAGCACCGGCCAACUACGUGCCAGCAGCCGCGGUAAUACGUAGGGUGCAAGCGUUGUCCGGAAUUAUUGGGCGUAAAGAGCUCGUAGGCGGCCUGUCGCGUCGGCUGUGAAAACCCGGGGCUCAACCCCGGGCCUGCAGUCGAUACGGGCAGGCUAGAGUCCGGUAGGGGAGACUGGAAUUCCUGGUGUAGCGGUGAAAUGCGCAGAUAUCAGGAGGAACACCGGUGGCGAAGGCGGGUCUCUGGGCCGGUACUGACGCUAAGGAGCGAAAGCGUGGGGAGCGAACAGGAUUAGAUACCCUGGUAGUCCACGCCGUAAACGUUGGGCGCUAGGUGUGGGGGACCUUCCACGGCCUCCGUGCCGCAGCUAACGC